UCAGCUCGUGUCGUGAGAUGUCAAAAUAUAUGAAUCUUUACUAUUGACGUUUGUUACUAAUGUUAAACUGCGGUAAAUCAUUCUGAUUCUGUUGUUCAGUUCAGUUUAAUUCCUGAUUUGUCGAGAAAUGAAGGCAGCAUUCGAAUCAAACUAUCAUAAAACGAUAACCGCUACAAUGGGCUGCAAAGUAA
Molecule: ribosomal RNA, 191 nt
Filed under: Bombyx mori (domestic silkworm)
Lineage: Eukaryota; Metazoa; Arthropoda; Insecta; Lepidoptera; Bombycidae
Description: partial 16S ribosomal RNA
Source: RNAcentral